GAUGAACGCUGGCGGCGUGCCUAAUACAUGCAAGUCGAGCGAACAGAUAAGGAGCUUGCUCCUUUGACGUUAGCGGCGGACGGGUGAGUAACACGUGGGUAACCUACCUAUAAGACUGGGAUAACUUCGGGAAACCGGAGCUAAUACCGGAUAACAUUUGGAACCGCAUGGUUCUAAAGUGAAAGAUGGUUUUGCUAUCACUUAUAGAUGGACCCGCGCCGUAUUAGCUAGUUGGUAAGGUAACGGCUUACCAAGGCAACGAUACGUAGCCGACCUGAGAGGGUGAUCGGCCACACUGGAACUGAGACGCGGUCCAGACUCCUACGGGAGGCAGCAGUAGGGAAUCUUCCGCAAUGGGCGAAAGCCUGACGGAGCAACACCGCGUGAGUGAUGAAGAGUUUCGGCUCGUAAAACUCUGUUAUUAGGGAAAAACAAAAGUGUAAGUAACUGUGCACGUCUUGACGGUACCUAAUCAAAAAGCCACGGCUAACUACGUG
This 497-nucleotide ribosomal RNA is filed under the name uncultured bacterium. RNAcentral describes it as "partial 16S ribosomal RNA". It matches the Rfam family "Bacterial small subunit ribosomal RNA", at positions 28 to 507 of the family's 1533-position model. The record is from RNAcentral.